ACGCGCCGCCGCCUGGAGCCCGGGAGCUGCGCACCGCGUGCGAGCGCGGCCGGGACCGACGGGUGACGCGGCGGGAGGAGACGCGGCGGGAGGAGGCGAAGCUGGCGACGCCAAAGGGAGCCCAGAGCUACGCCCAGGGGUGAGGCGAGGGCCGCCUGCGCCGCUGGAUGGAGAGGGUAGCAGAGCGCGCGGCAAGGAGGCCGGGUCCGGAGGUGCCCACGUGCACGAACCCGAGUGAAACUUUCCGAAAUUCACUAUCCGAGUCUAGGCGCCGACACAGAAGGACCAAACGACGGUGCCAUGGGAGGCUCUUCAACCUGUGAGCCAAACAUUUGACCUUGGACGACAGCAAAGUUUAGCCACAGAUUAUCCUUGUAGAGCUGCAAGACCUCAAGAAAGCCGGAUUGGGAAAGGAAUAUAAGAGGAAAGAGAGACUGCCUGAUGAUUUCUGUCGUCAAGCCCUAAAGCCUAACAGAUAACAGUGGCAAACGACACGCUAGUCAAGUGAAGCAGUGGGAGUGGAAAAGGAGCAAAGAAAUCUGUAACUGGUUGUGAUUCCAUGAACUUUUUGAAAUCCCCUUGUAUUGGCUUCCUUCCCUCUUCUGUCUUACUUCUCUACUCCCUACAAGUGUUUUCUGGGAUCACCUCCAAAUAAACUACUUGCAAUCUAAUCCUGUCUCAAGUCUGCUGCUGUGGGAACCCAAACUAAGACACCUGCAAAAAAUAUCCUUCCAAUUACUGAAAAAUAUGUUCACUUGCACCCAUAAAAGUGUUUGCUAAUACCGUAGACCCUUGGCUGUACAAUAUGGUAGCAGUAUCCACAUGAGCAUUUUGGGACUUGAAAUGUGGCUGGUCCCAGUUGAGAUGUUCUGGAAGUAUAAAACACACUGACUUCAAAGACAGUGUCAAGAAAAAUGUGUUUAACGUCUCAUGAAUGAUUUUUUUUACAUGGAUUACAUGUUAAAAUGAUAAUAUUUGGACACAUUAGUUAAAAACAGAAAGUCAGCCCCCCAACAUUUCCAGGUAGAGAACCUAUCAAAGGAGACUGAAGUGAGAAGAAAAAUAGAGUCACAGAAGUGAAGAAAAUGUUUCAAGAAAGGAAAGCUGGAGCCCAUGCUUCUGAGAGGCUGGGAAAUUGAGGACAGAAGAGCAGCCACUGUAUUUAACAACGUGGGGACCUUUGGUGAAUUGAUCAAAUCAGUAUUUUAAAGAGAGGGAGACAGACCCUAAUUAAAAUAUAUUGAGGAGAGAAUGGAAUGUGAAGAUGUAAAGACAGAGGUUAUACACAACUUCUCUGAGAAAUGUUGCUGUGAGGAGAGAGAGAAAAUAUGUAAUUGUAGGAGAGAAAUCCUUGGGAAAGCAGUCCUCCACACCGUGGACUAUUCCAUAGCCAAUUUUAACAACAUAGGUGAUAGGGUUUGGCUCUGUGUCUCCAACCAAAUCUCAUCUCGAAUUGUGAUUGCCACAAUCCCCACAUGUUGAGGGAGAAACCCGAUGGGAGGUGAUUGGAUCGUGGAGGCAGUUGUUACCAUGAUAGUGAGUAUUUUAUAAAGGGCUCUUCCCCCUUCACUCCUUGCUCCCCUCUCUCCUGCCACAAUGUGAAGAAGGUCCUUUUUUCCCCACCUUCUGCCAUGACUGUAAGUUUCCUGAGGCCCCCUCAGCCAUGUGGAACUGUGAGUCAAUUAAAGCAUUUUCCUUUAUAAAUUACCCAGUCUCGGGUAUUUCUUUACAGCAGUGUGAGAAUGAACUAAUAUGAUGGGUGUAGUAGAUGUUGUCAGUGCCUGACCAGAACCCCCAGGCCCUUACCAUUUCACACUAGCCUGACUUCCGGCAUCUCUGCCUCAAAUCCUUCUGCUCCACCAGAGUUGGUUUAGCCCAAGUACAAGGCAGGCCAGGGAGUUAGUGUCUCCCUCUGCCCUCCUCCAGCAACAAUCAACUAAUAGAUAGACAAGAGCUGGUGUAUAAAUAACGGCACUCACUCACUCACUCCUCAGGUAACUGAGGUUUGCGUUUAUACUGUCUCCUAAAUUUCCUCAGCAGGAUUACUCUCCAGUAGCCCAGACUGGGACAUGUCUGAUGAUAUACCCUUUAUUGGCUUCAUUCCCUCCCCUGUCUCACUUCCCCA
This 2125-nucleotide long non-coding RNA is filed under the name Homo sapiens (human). RNAcentral describes it as "non-protein coding lnc-CLDN10-8:7". Lineage: Eukaryota; Metazoa; Chordata; Mammalia; Primates; Hominidae. The record is from RNAcentral.